GAAGCUGACCCGAUUGGCAGAAGAGCUUGUGGCUGAGGAGGAACGAGCAAAUCGAGGAGCAGAAAAGAAACGGCUAAAGAAGAAGGUGGUUGGGGAGGGGGCCCUUUGAGGAGGUGGGGGGGGGUGGAGAGGGAAAGUCAAGGAAGGGGCCCACCUCUGCCCUCCAACCAGGCUUCUUGAUAUGGGGGGAGAAUAACCAUAGGGGACUACUUGGAGGGGAGCCCUCACCUGGUGGGUGAAUUACAUCUACAGAAGGAGCGGAAACGGCAGGAAUGAAUGGAACAAGGAAGUGGGGGGGGGGCAAGGUAAGUGUGGGGUUUGGUGGAGGUUCAGGAUGAAUGCUUGAUGGGGAAUGGGUGGAAAAGGAUAGAAGAAGGGCUGAAGAGCACAUGUAGCAGGGAGGAAGGGGCAUAGGGUCAGAGUUGUGCAAGAAGGGACAGGGGUGGGGAACACUGAGUUUAAAACUCCAAGGUUGUUGGUCUAGGUGGAGGGCUUAAGGCACCAACACUGCUUCUAUUGCAGUGGUUCUCAACCUUUCUAAUGCCAUGACCCCGCAAUACAGUUCCUCAUGUUGCGGUGACCCCAAACCAAAAUAUUAUUUUGGUGGCUACUUCAAAACUGUAAUUUUGCUAGUUAUGAUUCGGAAUGUAAAUACCUGAUAUGCAUUAUGUAUUCUCAUUGCUACAGAUUGAGAGGUUGAGAACCGCUGUUCUAUUGGAUGUUUCUAACCAGGUGAUAGAAGAGGCUGCAGUCGCAGCAGGCCCAGCAGCAGAGGCAAGCAACUUUAACUCCAGUCCCCAAAGCCCUAGUCAAGGGAGCAGCAAUGAGGAAGAAGAAUUGGAUUUGUCAAGCACCUUCGUGUCUCAAGCCCCUCACAAGGUUGGUGACUGGCCUCCCAAUACCCAGAAAGAGAAAGUGUUGAUCCCUGAGCCUCCAGCCUUGAACUCGCAGAGCCAGAGCCCACAGGAAGGGAGCAGGAGCCAGAGUCCUCAGCUAGAGGUGAGGCCUUAUGGCUGGAACUGGUUAGAAGGGAAGGAAGUGGGGAGAAGGGAAACUACAGAUUGGACUUUCCCGAGUGGGGGUGAUGGUGGUGGGGUGGUAGGGGGAACCUUGAUCUUUAGAGGAAGGCCAUUUGUUAAGUGCUCCCUCUUCUCCCUCUUCCUACUCAUUUCCCACCAUCCAAAAUCCCAUCUCACAUACAGUGGCACUUUUUGCCUUGGCAAACCACUCCUACUGACUUCUUCCCUACUGGCUACAGACAUGCCCAUGUCUCUCUCUUCCUCAAAAAAUCCUGACUUGAUCCAUCCAUCCCUACUAGUUAUUUCAUCUCUCUCCUCCCUUUUGUGGCCAAACUCCCAGAGAAAGCUAUCUGCAAUAGUUGCUUCUACUUCCCUUACUUUCACUCUCUUAACUCUCAACAGUCUGGCUUCUGAUCUCGAUCAGUUGACCAGAAUUUCUCUCUCCAAAGUUACUAAUGAUCUCUUUUUGCCAAACCUAAUGACCUUUUCUCAAUCAUCAUCCCUUGACCAUGGUCUUUGA
RNAcentral lists this long non-coding RNA (1539 nucleotides) under Monodelphis domestica (gray short-tailed opossum). Its description in RNAcentral is "lncRNA (ENSMODG00000043789.1)". Lineage: Eukaryota; Metazoa; Chordata; Mammalia; Didelphimorphia; Didelphidae. The record is from RNAcentral.